AGAUGGAGCAUAAAAUUGGGCGGACUGACUCAGAGGCUCCUCUGCAACAUCAGGCAACCAAGGCCUGCGCUCUCCUUUUCCUGAGGAGACUCCCUGGAACCUUCAAGAACCCCCCGACAGCCACCAGGAUACCCGGUCUGAAUGGUUUCCUACCAAGAAAGACCCCGAAGACCUGCAGUUCUGUCCAGAAACGAGUUUUUAGGGUCACUUGAAUUUGAGCUGCUGCGAGGGCGGUGCUUUAGGGAGCAGAGUUCAAAGAGGAAUUCCUCAGGACCCUAGGCCAGGUCCGCGUUAAAGGGCGCCUUACAAACCUCCUCUCCCCACACUCCCCCGCAGCCCCUUCCCCAACGUUUAAGGCACCGGAUCUUGAGAAGCAAAUCUAGUGCCCAGCUUCAAAUCCCCGCCUUGGAAAAGUACAAAGAGAAAACUGAUUUUUCAAAUCCCAAAGCCCUUUCCUUUUAAGCAACUUGGAAAAACUCAGCUAUAAACGCUUUCUCCUCUUAUGCUAAAAUUGAAAACUUAUAGAUUUUAGAUGGAAUGAAGAGAAGAUAUAUUCCUUUUCCCUUUAAAUAGCCACAUUUCAAAUUGUGCCAGGCAGCAAUUUCUGCGAAAAAGGAGUGGCGGUUGGGAUUGUUUGGGAGAUGGAGUUUUAUUUGUUCCCAUUUAUUUUGUUUUAUUUUUGUUUUAUUUUUUUCUUUGAGUUUCUUUGUUAUUUUGAGAUUCAUCUAAGAGACUCAGAAUUCCACUCUGAAUAAAGCACUUUUUGUUGUUUCAAAAUUUCAAACUGACAUAAGUGUUGGAUCAUCAGUUUUCCCUUUGUCUGCCCUAGUUGUAAAUAAUGGCUUUGAGAUUAGCUAAUUAAGGGGCAUUAAUCACUGAUAGAAAGGGAAUAAAUCAAAGCCUUGUUCUAAAUUUCAAACUUGCCUGUAUAGAUGUGCAUAGCUACUCUAUCUGGAGCAGAUAGGUGCUGUUUGAAUUACUGUUCUUCAGAGUAAACCAAAUCCAC
This 1006-nucleotide long non-coding RNA is filed under the name Homo sapiens (human). RNAcentral's name for it is "HSALNT0326477". Lineage: Eukaryota; Metazoa; Chordata; Mammalia; Primates; Hominidae. The record is from RNAcentral.